This 76-nucleotide transfer RNA is filed under the name Treponema vincentii ATCC 35580. Its description in RNAcentral is "tRNA-Pro". It matches the Rfam family "tRNA". From Rfam's summary of the family: Transfer RNA (tRNA) molecules are approximately 80 nucleotides in length. Their secondary structure includes four short double-helical elements and three loops (D, anti-codon, and T loops). Further hydrogen bonds mediate the characteristic L-shaped molecular structure. tRNAs have two regions of fundamental functional importance: the anti-codon, which is responsible for specific mRNA codon recognition, and the 3' end, to which the tRNAs corresponding amino acid is attached (by aminoacyl-tRNA synthetases). tRNAs cope with the degeneracy of the genetic code in two manners: having more than one tRNA (with a specific anti-codon) for a particular amino acid; and 'wobble' base-pairing, i.e. permitting non-standard base-pairing at the 3rd anti-codon position. The record is from RNAcentral. Lineage: Bacteria; Pseudomonadati; Spirochaetota; Spirochaetia; Treponematales; Treponemataceae.
CGGGAUGUAGCCUAGGGGCUAAGGCGUCUGGUUUGGGACCAGAAGAUCGGGGGUUCAAAUCCCUCCAUCCCGAUAG